This 253-nucleotide ribosomal RNA is filed under the name uncultured bacterium. Its description in RNAcentral is "partial 16S ribosomal RNA". It matches the Rfam family "Bacterial small subunit ribosomal RNA", at positions 524 to 776 of the family's 1533-position model. The record is from RNAcentral.
UACGAGGGGGGCAAGUGUUGUUCGGAAUCACUGGGCGUAAAGGGAGCGUAGGCGGAUGUUUAAGUUGGAUGUUUAAAACCGGGGCCUAACCUCGGAGCGGCAUCCAAAACUGGGCAUCUUGAAUGGAACAGAGGCUGGUGGAAUUAAGGGUGUAGCGGUGGAAUGCGUAGAGAUCCCCAAGAACACCAAUUGCGAAGGCAGCCAGCUGGGUCCACAUUGACGCUGAGGCUCGAAAGCAUGGGGAGCAAACAGG